UUUCCUGUUUUGUUUUCAUUUCCUUUACUAUUGUGUGUGGAAUUUAUGGAAAUUCCUUAAAAUAGAAAGCCGCUGAAUACCGCAAUUCCUUUUAAACGAAAACCGGCAAAUCCAAGAGGUUUCUUUUCUUUCUU
RNAcentral lists this non-coding RNA (134 nucleotides) under Vannella robusta. Lineage: Eukaryota; Discosea; Flabellinia; Vannellidae. The record is from RNAcentral.